UACGUAGGUGGCAAGCGUUGUCCGGAUUUACUGGGCAUAAAGAGCGCGCAGGCGGCUGGUCAAGUCCGAUGUGAAAUCUCCCGGCUUAACUGGGAAACUGCAUCGGAAACUGAUCGGCUUGAAGGUGGGAGAGGGUAGUGGAAUUCCCGGUGUAGUGGUGAAAUGCGUAGAUAUCGGGAGGAACACCAGUGGCGAAGGCGACUACCUGGCCCAUUCUUGACGCUGAGGCGCGAAAGCUAGGGGAGCGAACGGG
This 253-nucleotide ribosomal RNA is filed under the name uncultured bacterium. RNAcentral describes it as "partial 16S ribosomal RNA". It matches the Rfam family "Bacterial small subunit ribosomal RNA", at positions 524 to 776 of the family's 1533-position model. The record is from RNAcentral.